Molecule: long non-coding RNA, 906 nt
Filed under: Triticum aestivum (bread wheat)
Lineage: Eukaryota; Viridiplantae; Streptophyta; Magnoliopsida; Poales; Poaceae
Description: long non-coding RNA (TAES_LNC024452)
Source: RNAcentral
GCUAAACAUACAAACCAUGGCAUAUAUCACGUUAUUUAUGUUUUCAUUUCGCCACACCAGCGGCACACCGCAUGGAUCUGUGGCCUGCUGUACAUCACACACACGGACACGGAAAGCAUCACAGGUGGGUGCAGCUCCGACCAUGCGAGUUUCACCGUCGACUGUGAUCUAGGACAUCUUGACGUGCUCCAUGCGCUGCCUCUCCAUGUACUCGAAGAGGCUGCCGUCGUACAUGCGCCGGAUGGCCUCCCUCGACAGGUACCCUUCGUCGUCCCGAGCCAGCACGUACAGGAACGACCACUCCAGCUUCAUCGCCACCCUGCAUCCGUCCAUCCAUCCCAUCUCACACCAGUUAGCUAUACAACAACAUAGCCGCAGCAUGCAGCAACUGAAACUGAAGGUUCAUUCAUGCUGAUCGUCGAGUAAAUUAGCCAGUUACCAGCCGAAGAAAUCGAACACCUCCCGGCACCCCUCGGUCAUCCGCCACAGCUCCCUGUAGCUGAGCCUGUCCGGGUACGUGCGGGCGUACUUGCUGAAGAUGUUCUCGAAAUUCACCGGCAUGAACCUGCACAACACCACAAACAUUUCACAUUCGCCGCCAGCCCGUCAGUGCAUAAUUAACAGUAACUACUACUAGUACAACAUACCGGCCCUCUUUGUCAUAGGUCCCCGAAUCACUCCCGUGCUUGCUCUUGUGGAUGUUGUGCACGUAGAUCGGGAAGAGAGGGUUCGGCAGCCAACCCUGCACAGCCACAAAAACGCAGUCAAUACAUACAAAGACUGAAUGAAACACGGUGUGAUUUCUCAAGUUCUUUGAUAGCUCACUCACGGGCAGGGUGGGAUAGCUCAUGACCAGGUUCACCAGAAACGCGAUGAAGGCGGACAUGAACACGUUGAACCCAACCG